UACUGCUAUUCAUGAAAAGAAACUGAACAUUCGGAAACAAAAUCUAAGCAGAAGUUCAUUGGAUAACGGUGUUUGGAUCAGCUUAUGUACAAC
Cucurbita moschata (crookneck pumpkin) is the source of this 93-nucleotide long non-coding RNA. RefSeq lists it as uncharacterized. NCBI's taxonomy places the organism in Eukaryota, Viridiplantae, Streptophyta, Magnoliopsida, Cucurbitales, Cucurbitaceae. The record is from RefSeq and is a predicted model, not a curated record. The transcript is spliced from 3 exons.